Molecule: small nuclear RNA, 107 nt
Organism: Heterocephalus glaber (naked mole-rat)
Lineage: Eukaryota; Metazoa; Chordata; Mammalia; Rodentia; Bathyergidae
Source: Ensembl
GUGCUCGCCUCAGAGGCACAUAUACUAAAAUUGGAAUGAUACAGAGAAGAUUAGCACGGCCCCUGUGCAAGGAUGAAAUUCAAAUUUGUGAAGCAUUCUAUAUUUUU